UACGUAGGGGGCAAGCGUUGUCCGGAAUCAUUGGGCGUAAAGCGCGCGUAGGCGGCCCGAUAAGUCCGCUGUAAAAGUCCAGGGCUCAACCCUGGAAUGCCGGUGGAUACUGUCGGGCUAGAGUCCGGAAGAGGCGAGUGGAAUUCCUGGUGUAGCGGUGGAAUGCGCAGAUAUCAGGAGGAACACCAGCGGCGAAGGCGGCGACCUGGCCCUGACCUGACGCUGAGGCGCGAGAGCGUGGGGAGCGAACGGG
RNAcentral lists this ribosomal RNA (253 nucleotides) under uncultured bacterium. RNAcentral's name for it is "partial 16S ribosomal RNA". It matches the Rfam family "Bacterial small subunit ribosomal RNA", at positions 524 to 776 of the family's 1533-position model. The record is from RNAcentral.